UGUUGCGGUCCGGAGUCAGCGGGUUAUCAAAUCAGCACUCUUGGAUUAUAAUGGACUGGCCGCCCUGGUGGGCAAACCUACCCCAUUGACAACAACUUGACCGCAUU
RNAcentral lists this small RNA (107 nucleotides) under Necator americanus (New World hookworm). RNAcentral describes it as "Nematode sRNA ceN72-3_ceN74-2". It matches the Rfam family "Nematode sRNA ceN72-3_ceN74-2". Lineage: Eukaryota; Metazoa; Nematoda; Chromadorea; Rhabditida; Ancylostomatidae. The record is from Rfam by way of RNAcentral.